GGGCUCAUAGCUCAGUCUGGUCAGAGCGCUCGCCUCUUAAGCGAGAUGUCGAGGGUUCGAAUCCCCCUGGGCCCA
Molecule: transfer RNA, 75 nt
Filed under: archaeon
Lineage: Archaea
Description: tRNA-Lys
Rfam family: tRNA
About the family: Transfer RNA (tRNA) molecules are approximately 80 nucleotides in length. Their secondary structure includes four short double-helical elements and three loops (D, anti-codon, and T loops). Further hydrogen bonds mediate the characteristic L-shaped molecular structure. tRNAs have two regions of fundamental functional importance: the anti-codon, which is responsible for specific mRNA codon recognition, and the 3' end, to which the tRNAs corresponding amino acid is attached (by aminoacyl-tRNA synthetases). tRNAs cope with the degeneracy of the genetic code in two manners: having more than one tRNA (with a specific anti-codon) for a particular amino acid; and 'wobble' base-pairing, i.e. permitting non-standard base-pairing at the 3rd anti-codon position.
Source: RNAcentral